CUCGAGUAAGCUCAGCAGCAUAAUUUUGGCAAAGAUUGAGAAAGUCAUCUUCGGUCUUGUUUUCCUGUUGAAAUGUUAUGUCAUCUGUUUGUGUUACUUCUAUGGAAUUAUCACAUGAGACACACACACGCAUAGAGAGAGAGAGAGAGAGAGACUUGUCCAAAAUGAUCGCAAAGGGGACGAUGACAAUAGUGGCAACGGCAUGGCGGUACACAACAAAUACAUAAUUGCUCAUCCCCUCAUUCAAUGCUACCUUGGAAAGGAUAUCCAUCCCUGCAAACCCAAAUUGCAAGAGAAUGACACCAAUGAAAGGCUUCAUCCUCUGAUACAGCUUACCCAUAGUUACACACUGCUCUCUUAACUACUCAACGCUCGUGAAAUUUUGAAAUGGAAAUUUAAUGAGCUCAGUGUUCAUAUUUGUAGUUGUUUCGUUUUCCUGUUUUGUGCAACAAUGUUGUAGUAGUCAGAUUCAGAUAUCUUCAACAUGCUUUAUAGCAGGGGAGUCCACUAACAAAUAAAAAGUCAAUUAUUGCUUAAAAGGCCCUGUCACCAAACAUCAACAGGAGACAUCUUUCUUCGCGCAAACCUAUUGGAUUGAUGUCUAGGGUACAUCGGUUUCAUCUCCAUAUGCAGCUACAGAGGUCUUGUGGUCUUGAGCAAAAGGAAUUUCUGUGUUAGCCCACAGAACUUGGCAAGUUUCUGUUGGGAAGAUACGUCCAUGUAUAUAUGUAUGCGUAGACAUCAUUUGCAUCAUUGCCAUUGUCGAAGGUGACGUUGCAUUGUUUAACUGAUAAAUCCCACUUGAACAACUUCUUUCCGGUGCUUUAACAUUAUUAGUUUAUGGGCUAGGCUGUGUCAUGGCACUAGGCACUAUGCAUUGUGUACCAUGUACUUGGCACUCAAAUCCCACUAAUCCAUACUUUACACU
This is a long non-coding RNA of Rhododendron vialii, 928 nucleotides long. RefSeq lists it as uncharacterized. Lineage: Eukaryota; Viridiplantae; Streptophyta; Magnoliopsida; Ericales; Ericaceae. The record is from RefSeq and is a predicted model, not a curated record. The transcript is spliced from 3 exons.